RNAcentral lists this ribosomal RNA (423 nucleotides) under uncultured bacterium. Its description in RNAcentral is "partial 16S ribosomal RNA". It matches the Rfam family "Bacterial small subunit ribosomal RNA", at positions 360 to 775 of the family's 1533-position model. The record is from RNAcentral.
AAUUUUGGACAAUGGGGGCAACCCUGAUCCAGCCAGCCCGCGUGUGCGAUGAAGGCCUUCGGGUUGUACAGCACUUUUGGCCGGGAAGAAAAGGCUCUGGCUAAUACCUGGAGCUGCUGACGGUACCCGCAGAAUCAGCACCGGCUAACUACGUCCCAGCAGCCGCGGUAAUACGUAGGGUGCAAGCGUUAAUCCGAAUUACUGGGCGUAAAGCGUGCGCAGACGGUUCGGCAAGAAGGAUGUGAAAUCCCAGGGCUUAACCUUGGAACUGCAUUCUUAACUGCCGGGCUAGAGUAUGUCAGAGGGGGGUAGAAUUCCGCGUGUAGCAGUGAAAUGCGUAGAGAUGCGGAGGAAUACCGAUGGCGAAGGCAGCCCCCUGGGAUAAUACUGACGCUCAUGCACGAAAGCGUGGGGAGCAAACAG